AGUAACUAGGCGCUGAAUCCAUGACGGAGCGAGGAGCCCAACGUUGUAACGGUUUCGUUACUGGGGGUGAAUCCGAACAGGAAGGGCAUCUCUCCAAGCCCGAACCCGACAGCGAACUCCGCAAGCGCUUUUUGGGGAGGGA
Molecule: small RNA, 142 nt
Filed under: Geobacillus sp.
Lineage: Bacteria; Bacillati; Bacillota; Bacilli; Caryophanales; Anoxybacillaceae
Description: c-di-AMP sequence
Rfam family: c-di-AMP riboswitch aptamer (ydaO/yuaA leader)
About the family: This family represents a conserved RNA structure found upstream of the ydaO and yuaA genes in Bacillus subtilis and related genes in other bacteria.
Source: RNAcentral